AUUCUGAGAGAAUAAUUUCGGGGUGGGACCCAGGGAUUUGCAUGUUAAGAACAGCCCAGGUGACCAUGAAGCCGACUGAUGGAUGUCCCAUGAACACGAAAUGGGGAAGUAGGGCAGAACCAUUAAAACUGCUUAUAAUCAAGUCAGGUAAACAAAAACAAAACCCUCUCAGAAUAGCAAUGGGUUCAUCACAGUAUGUUCACUAUAAUGAAAAACACUAACUUUCUGGCUUCAUUCACUGGAUUUCUCUGCUCUCUCUCUCUGCCUCUGUUUUCACUAGGCUUCAGCAAUGGGCCUGCAGCAAACACAUGAGCAUUCCAGGUUGACUUCUAAAGGUGGAAAGGCCCAGCGGGUGUCCCUUUGAAAUCUCUGAGGUUUGAAAGCAGUCUCUCCCAAGAAGAACUUAGGACAGUUCCUCUGUCUGUUUUGUGGGGGUUGGAGGGGGAGAGUUGUUCAGGAGUAGCCAGCUUAUUUCCUACCCAUGCUCCUCAGGCUCAAAUCCUGCCCCACCCUGCAGCCCCAGUCCUAGCCCAUUUAAGACCCCUGUUUUGUGUGUGGUUAUACAGGAUUUGAACACUGAAUAUUAACCAUGGAAUAGCAGACCGUUAAGACUGACUUGCUUUAUUUUCCUCUGCGGAGUUAGGUUCCACUUUGCAGUUGGGGUUUGUAAUGUAACGAAUAAUGGGAAACUGGUCUAGUUAUGGGAGUUAAAGGAGAGCAGAGGCCUGUAGUUGGCCUGCCCCCCCCCCCGCCCCACCAUCCCUCAAAGUUGAGACCACUGAGUUGACCAUCCUCUUAAUUUCUCUCACUUUUCCCCCAGAUUUGUUUCAUCCUGUACUGGACUUCUCAAACUGUACAUAAUUAAAAAUACAUAGCUUUACAUUUUUACAAACUUAAUACCUGAAUAUAUGCUUGUUGUCAAAUACCCAAACUUCACAGAAAGUUUUACAGAGUAAAAAGUGGAAGUUCAUGCCCACAUCCAAUCUCAUUCCUUCCCCAGUGGCAGCAGUUUGUGUGUCUAUUUCAAAUUAAAUUAGCAUACCAUAUGUUCUCUGAAAUGUGGGAAGUGAGCCUUUUUUCUUAGGGUAACCUAAAACCUACAGGACAAACUGGAUCAGCUUAUUUACUCUAUUGUGAUGGCUACGUUAAUAUUUAAAGUACAUAGUGAUAUGUGCCAUUGUGACCUUUCUGCUCAUCAAACAAUACUGCAUAAGUGUAGUUAAUACUUACGAUCAUUCUCAAGAGGCUUAAAAAUGUAAAUGUAUUUCCUUAUAUUUCACUAACAGUGAAACUUUUACCAUUUCUGAAAGCUGUCUUUCUGUUUAUUUUGCAGCUAAUCUCUUUGGAUUAAAAGAGGUUUCCAAAUCUGUGGUCAAUAUCUAAGGUUACUCAAAGCAGUAUUUUUAAACUGUUUUGGUCUCUUGAAAGAUUGGUCUCACUAAUUUUUUUAUCACCAUCAUACACUCUUCUGGAAUCAUAUAAUGAAGAUUUGAUGACAAGGAAUAUAGAAUUCAAAUUUUAGUAUAUCUGUUUGUAUUUUGUGUAUUUAGCAUAUUUACAUUUAUGUGUAAACAGAUGGUACAUUCGGUUCCCAUAAUUUAAUUAUUACUGUUCAAGCAUAUCUAAGGAGUAAAAUAGUUUCAGCAAAAUAAGAGAGGCUUUGUAAAUCUUAUAUUUAAUUUCGAUAGGGAAAUAGGCAAUGAUACCAUUACUUGGUGAAUUAUUAUUUUAACUUUGAACAUCUUUGAGGCACAAAAAAUUCAAGAAUUUUUACAAAUACAAACUUUAAAAAAAGAAGACACACUCUGAAGGAAUUAGGCUUGGAAAGUCCUCAAAUCUAGACUAAUAAAAGGUCGUAAAUAUCUCCUGGGACCAAAACAAAAAUACCACCAAAUGAUCUGUUUCAGAAGGAUGAAUAGAUAGUUGCUCACACAACUAAAAUCUAA
Macaca mulatta (Rhesus monkey) is the source of this 1946-nucleotide non-coding RNA. The record is from RefSeq and is a predicted model, not a curated record. Lineage: Eukaryota; Metazoa; Chordata; Mammalia; Primates; Cercopithecidae.